Molecule: long non-coding RNA, 787 nt
Organism: Heterocephalus glaber (naked mole-rat)
Lineage: Eukaryota; Metazoa; Chordata; Mammalia; Rodentia; Bathyergidae
Source: Ensembl
CAGACUUUGAAUUUAAGGAAACUAAAGACCCCUUUAUCUCUUUUUCUUCUAAGUAUUUUUUCAAAAACAAAAAAUAUCGAGCACACGUGAAUACAAAUGACAAGAGUGAGAUUGUUUUUUAUUUCUGCAAAUCUUUUGAAUGCGUGGUUUGAUACAAUACAGCCAGAUUCUUAAACCUACUUCUGCAUUGGUCUCUUGUAGUGUCACACCAUGCCACCUCUGGAAAACUCCACGGUACCCUUGUACUUUGUUUUAAGUGAACAACCAUGUCAUCCUCUGUUUUCAGCAUAACCAGGUGUGGUGGUGCAUGCCUGUAAUACCAGCCCUCUGGAAUCUGAGGCAGAGUUCCAGCCCAGCCUGGACAGUUCAGCAACCUGUAGUUGUGGAUUAACUACUGAGCAACUUGGAACACCCAGCUGAACUGAGUCAGCGUGGUUCUGGGCGUGGAAGGCCCACCUGAGGAUUGUUGCCAAUGGCAGAAAGACCUGGAGGAAAUGAUUGUAUGCUGUUGAUUUUCUUGGAGAAGCUUGCCUGCUGGUUUUCCGGAUGCAAACUUGGCUUUUUUUCAUCAUCAGAGGAGCUCAAGGCCUCGCUGUCGCUGGGAAUGGCUGCUGUUCUCAGGGAAGCUCUGAUCUUCGCCUUGAGCAUUGCUUCCUGCUCCAUGCAGAUCCCUCAGCCUGGUGCCACAAACCCUUCACCCCUCUUGGGCAGACUUUGUGGCUUCCACCACUGGCCCUUGGGCCUUCCUGGGGCAGAUCCUCAGUGCAGACCUGCAUGAGAUAUUGCU